Molecule: ribosomal RNA, 433 nt
Filed under: uncultured bacterium
Lineage: Bacteria
Description: partial 16S ribosomal RNA
Rfam family: Bacterial small subunit ribosomal RNA
Source: RNAcentral
AACGAACGCUGGCGGCAUGCCUAACACAUGCAAGUCGAACGAAGGCUUCGGCCUUAGUGGCGCAAGGCUGCGUAACGCGUGGGAAUCUGCCCUUUGCUUCGGAAUAACAGUUAGAAAUGACUGCUAAUACCGGAUGAUGUCGCAAGACCAAAGAUUUAUCGGCAAAGGAUGAGCCCGCGUAGGAUUAGCUAGUUGGUGGGGUAAAGGCCUACCAAGGCGACGAUCCUUAGCUGGUCUGAGAGGAUGAUCAGCCACACUGGGACUGAGACACGGCCCAGACUCCUACGGGAAGCAGCAGUGGGGAAUAUUGGACAAUGGGCGAAAGCCUGAUCCAGCAAUGCCGCGUGAGUGAUGAAGGCCUUAGGGUUGUAAAGCUCUUUUACCCGGGAUGAUAAUGACAGUACCGGGAGAAUAAGCUCCGGCUAACUCCGUG